Molecule: long non-coding RNA, 376 nt
Organism: Rosa rugosa (rugosa rose)
Lineage: Eukaryota; Viridiplantae; Streptophyta; Magnoliopsida; Rosales; Rosaceae
Exons: 3
Source: RefSeq, a predicted model, not a curated record
AUUGGUCAAGGACAUGUUGAAAACUCAACGAAAUCACAGGGCUCUUCUCCUUGCAAUGGUUCUUCGGAUGAUGCUUGACUUAGAAGCAAGUUAAAUAUGUUCAAGAACACAUUCCAAUCUGGGUUUCUCUCCAUUCUAUGCAGCCUUGGCUGUGCAUUUUUCUGGAUAAUUAGGAGCAAACCUUUGCAGAUAUGGGAUAAAGAAUGUGAGUCCGGACAACCUAGUAAUCAACUUCUGAGAUGCUUUUUAAAUUUCAAGUACUUUUAUUUGUUGUUCUUGUCUCUCGAGUAUGGUCUGGACUGAAGAAGCAACUCCUUAGUUUCUUUUUUUGCUUGGUCUGAGCUUCUUUGAAUCUGAAAUAAGUCUUAAGGCCUUG